This 458-nucleotide ribosomal RNA is filed under the name uncultured bacterium. RNAcentral's name for it is "bacterial SSU rRNA". It matches the Rfam family "Bacterial small subunit ribosomal RNA", at positions 29 to 532 of the family's 1533-position model. The record is from RNAcentral.
AACGAACGCUGGCGGCAGGCUUAACACAUGCAAGUCGAACGCCCCGCAAGGGGAGUGGCAGACGGGUGAGUAACACGUGGGAACAUGCCCAAAGGUACGGAAUAUUCUCGGGAAACUGGGAGCAAUACCGUAUGUGCCCGAAAGGGGAAAGAUUUAUCGCCUUUGGAUUGGCCCGCGUUGGAUUAGGUAGUUGGUGGGGUAACGGCCUACCAAGCCUGCGAUCCAUAGCUGGUCUGAGAGGACGAUCAGCCACACUGGGACUGAGACACGGCCCAGACUCCUACGGGAGGCAGCAGUGGGGAAUCUUGCGCAAUGGACGAAAGUCUGACGCAGCCAUGCCGCGUGAAUGAUGAAGGUCUUAGGAUUGUAAAGUUCUUUCGACGGGGACGAUGAUGACGGUACCCGUAGAAGAAGCCCCGGCUAACUACGUGCCAGCAGCCGCGGUAAGUCUCGCGUGA